Molecule: unclassified non-coding RNA, 1513 nt
Filed under: Hevea brasiliensis (rubber tree)
Lineage: Eukaryota; Viridiplantae; Streptophyta; Magnoliopsida; Malpighiales; Euphorbiaceae
Source: RNAcentral
AAGGAGGAAGUGAGAGGUUCUUGCUCUUCAAUGAUCUUCUCGCCGCGUCACACAUGGCUUUGAUGAUUAUCUUCAGCUCCUCAUUUCUUCCUACAAAAACCCUAGGCAGAGACUGCAAGGGCUUCAAAUAUUGACUCGUAGGCCUCGCGAUCUCGAAUUGUGAAGCGAAGUCAAGAUCGAUGAUGUACCGGUUUUGCCAGGUGGAGGACGACUGGACCACGUCGAUGAACUCGUAGCUCCCUGCCGUUAAGCCCCCGGAGGAGUUCCACUUGGUCUUGCAAAUCCCUGCAUUGUGUCCUAAUUCUCUCAGAAAUGACAUCACUUUCCGCCUGAAAACAGGUUUUUGAUUUCGCAAACACGAAAACAUUUCCAUGGCUUUCAAAACGUUAGCUAACAUCAUAUUUUUAUACGAAUCCGUACUGUUUCCAGUAGCUGAUCCGACAAUGUCUUCAACGAAGUCAGUACAAUCGGCGACGGAGUCAUCUUGAUCGGAAUCAGACUCGUACCCCAAGGAUUGAGUAUCGGAAUCAUCCUCGAGAAAGCCGUGAACGAGUUUAGAGAGGCAAGGGGAAUCGUCGGUGGAAUGUUCACUCCCGCUGCUGACAUAACUGAGUUGGGCGCCAACGAGUCGAGCUUUGGCCUUAUCGUCGAGAGGAUCAGUGACUCGCUUGGCUCUCACAAAAACUGACAUUUUCCGAGUAAGAUCCAGAGAUUUUUUUUUUUUUUCUAAGAAGUGUUUGUCCUAUUUCUAUGCGGUUUCCUUCCCCUUUGAUUAAAGCUUGACGAGGGAAAGAAAUCCUUUGAUGAGAAGCUCAAAGAAAGAAAGGACUGGUUAAGUAUUUAAAAGAAAGAAUUUGGUUGGGAAUAUUCGAGGGGAGAUUUCUGAGUAAGGGUGCUGCUUUUGAUCUUCUGGGAGUGGGUUUUUUUUAUUUUUCGAAAAAGGUACAAGUCGUGGGGGAGGAUAUACCAGAUUAUAUCCGACUACACGAGAUACAUGGCAGGGCCACAGGGCAUAUCCAACGGCACCUGGUGGGUUUAUUCGUUGAACUAGUAUAUGACGUGGGCGGAUGUGAUUUGCCGGAAGUUCGUGGAGUCUUGUUGUCCGCCACGAGUUUGGCACGUGGCCUAAGUUGCUCCUAUGGGACACUUGGGAGAUAUUGUGGGGUAUGGUUUUGCCUCUUCAAGGAAGGGAAGGGCGAAUCUGUUGGAAUUUCUAAUCAGAAUGCGAGGAGGGAAGGGAAAAAAAAACAUACACGGUUGAAAGAGCAAAGGAAGAAGCAAUUGAUUGAGCAAGCAAUGUCUUGCUUGCAAAAUAAAUAGAGAUAUAAAUUAACAAAAUUAAACUGAUUUAUAACAAUUUAGCUUAUUUUUUCUAUUUAGUUAGUAAUAUUUAAAAUUUUUAGUUUUUAUUAUCAAUUUAGUUAUGUAUAAAAUUUAACUGCUGCAACUAAACUAACUAUUAAAAAAAAACUAGAUUUUAAUCUUAAAAAAUUGUUGGGAUUAAACUCACCCG